UACGAAGGGGGCGAGCGUUGUUCGGAAUUACUGGGCGUAAAGGGCGCGUAGGCGGCCGAUCAAGUCAGAUGUGAAAGUCCUGGGCUUAACCUGGGGACUGCAUUUGAUACUGAUUGGCUUGAAUUCGGGAGAGGAUAGCGGAAUUCCCAGUGUAGAGGUGAAAUUCGUAGAUAUUGGGAAGAACACCGGUGGCGAAGGCGGCUAUCUGGACCGACAUUGACGCUGAGGCGCGAAAGCUAGGGGAGCAAACAGG
This 253-nucleotide ribosomal RNA is filed under the name uncultured bacterium. RNAcentral describes it as "partial 16S ribosomal RNA". It matches the Rfam family "Bacterial small subunit ribosomal RNA", at positions 524 to 776 of the family's 1533-position model. The record is from RNAcentral.